GGAAGGGCAUCCACCAGCAGGAAAUGGUGGGGCAAUUUUUGAUUGCCAACUGGGGUUCGAAUCCCCAGCCUUCCA
This 75-nucleotide transfer RNA is filed under the name Caudoviricetes sp. RNAcentral describes it as "tRNA-Lys". The record is from RNAcentral. Lineage: Duplodnaviria; Heunggongvirae; Uroviricota; Caudoviricetes.